RNAcentral lists this ribosomal RNA (327 nucleotides) under uncultured eukaryote. Its description in RNAcentral is "partial 18S ribosomal RNA". It matches the Rfam family "Eukaryotic small subunit ribosomal RNA", at positions 1470 to 1796 of the family's 1831-position model. The record is from RNAcentral.
CCCUUAGAUGUUCUGGGCAGCACGCGCGCUACACUGACGGAUUCAACGAGCUUACAACCUUGGCCGAAAGGUCUGGGUAAUCUCCAAAAUCCGUCGUGAUGGGGAUAGAUUAUUGCAAUUAUUAAUCUUCAACGAGGAAUGCCUAGUAAGCGCAAGUCAUCAGCUUGCGUUGAUUACGUCCCUGCCCUUUGUACACACCGCCCGUCGCUCCUACCGAUUGAAUGGUCCGGUGAAGCGUUUGGACUAUGGUUUUCUGAUGGUCCGCCGUUGGAUUACCGUGGGAAGUUCGUUAAACCUUAUCAUUUAGAGGAAGGAGAAGUCGUAACA